UACGUAGGCAGCGAGCGUUGUCCGGAAUUAUUGGGCGUAAAGAGCUUGUAGGCGGUUUGUCGCGUCUGCCGUGAAAAUCCGGGGCUCAACCCCGGACUUGCGGUGGGUACGGGCAGACUAGAGUGUGGUAGGGGAGACUGGAAUUCCUGGUGUAGCGGUGAAAUGCGCAGAUAUCAGGAGGAACACCGAUGGCGAAGGCAGGUCUCUGGGCCACUACUGACGCUGAGACGCGAAAGCGUGGGGAGCAAACAGG
This 253-nucleotide ribosomal RNA is filed under the name uncultured bacterium. RNAcentral describes it as "partial 16S ribosomal RNA". It matches the Rfam family "Bacterial small subunit ribosomal RNA", at positions 524 to 776 of the family's 1533-position model. The record is from RNAcentral.